Molecule: long non-coding RNA, 831 nt
Filed under: Salmo salar (Atlantic salmon)
Lineage: Eukaryota; Metazoa; Chordata; Actinopteri; Salmoniformes; Salmonidae
Description: lncRNA (ENSSSAG00000104302.1)
Source: RNAcentral
UUAACUUUAGGUUUUCACCACAAGUGUUUCGUGUUUAAUAUUUAAAACUUGAAAAUAUGAUAGACUUUUUUUUUACAUAAAUAAUUUGUAAAACAAUUGUUAUUUCUUUACUUUAAUAGACUGGAAUUGUUGAAGGAAAUCCACUUUUGUCACUGAAGUGUGCCUGUCGGCGAAGUAGCCGAAUCCUCUAUCCAACCCGCUGAAAUGCAAAAGCAAAUAUUAUUAUAGCGUUUUAAACAUCCUUUUAUACACCCCAAACAUAUGGCAGCUUCAACACAACAUCUGUUUACUGCCAUUGGAAUUAGCAUCAGAAUAUCUACCGCUAGAACAAGUGCUUUUCUGCAUGAGCAGACAAGACAAAAGUCUAAUGCGGAGAGAUCAGCACGAGCACACGACGUUCUGAAAGGACGUGGCACGACGCGGGCAGAUGUCCUGAAUCUCCUGCGGUUCCAGGGUGAAUGAUUACAGUAACUGGACACAUUAAAGGAGUCCUGGUCCUUUACAUCUUCAGAUUACAGUAAGUGGACACAUUAAAGGUGUCCUGGUCCUUCACAUCUUCAGAUUACAAACUGAAAGACGACAACCACGUGGUGGUAGAACACGUCUGUUUCCAGACCAACAGGAGGCUGCCAUUGUGCUUAUGGUAGAUGAAAAUAAUGCCAUAAGACUGUGGGAAAUUUAAAAAUUCAAUUUAUCGAAGACGAGGAAGAGGGGAAGGAACAUCAUUGGUCAACGGGCCAUCACUGAGGUACCUGGCCAGCGCAGGUACCACCCUUGGACCAUACAACACUACCCAUCUCCUUAAUUUCCUGAACACCUUACAUGACAAUC